AGCUCAGUGAUUGUUCUUAUGGCCAAAAAUAAAGCACAAGUUUACUGAGAUUGAAUAAACCCAGGAGGGGGAAGCGCAGGGGAUGUGCACCCCCACUGGGCAGCGUGAUCCUUCUGUUAAACCAUACUCUUCAGGCAGUGGCUGAUGGAGGGCAUAUGCCUGCCUGGGUCAUGACCGAACACAGACACACACUAGGUAUGUCAGAGAAGCUCCGGACCACACCCCCAAGCACGGUACCAUCUGCUUCAUCUGAUUAGCUGUAAAUAACUGGAGACAGUGAAUACACUGAUUUUUCUAUGUCUCUGUUUAAGCAUAAGACUUUGUAAUGAUUUUUUUAGAGGGGGAAAAACCAACAAAGAGCAAAUAUGUACUUGCUUCCUUUCUGCGUGUUACGUACUUCUC
RNAcentral lists this long non-coding RNA (402 nucleotides) under Bos taurus (domestic cattle). RNAcentral describes it as "long non-coding RNA NONBTAT024410". The record is from RNAcentral. Lineage: Eukaryota; Metazoa; Chordata; Mammalia; Artiodactyla; Bovidae.